RNAcentral lists this ribosomal RNA (1540 nucleotides) under Staphylococcus schweitzeri. RNAcentral describes it as "16S ribosomal RNA". It matches the Rfam family "Bacterial small subunit ribosomal RNA". The record is from RNAcentral. Lineage: Bacteria; Bacillati; Bacillota; Bacilli; Caryophanales; Staphylococcaceae.
AGAGUUUGAUCCUGGCUCAGGAUGAACGCUGGCGGCGUGCCUAAUACAUGCAAGUCGAGCGAACGGACGAGAAGCUUGCUUCUCUGAUGUUAGCGGCGGACGGGUGAGUAACACGUGGAUAACCUACCUAUAAGACUGGGAUAACUUCGGGAAACCGGAGCUAAUACCGGAUAAUAUUUUGAACCGCAUGGUUCAAAAGUGAAAGACGGUCUUGCUGUCACUUAUAGAUGGAUCCGCGCUGCAUUAGCUAGUUGGUAAGGUAACGGCUUACCAAGGCAACGAUGCAUAGCCGACCUGAGAGGGUGAUCGGCCACACUGGAACUGAGACACGGUCCAGACUCCUACGGGAGGCAGCAGUAGGGAAUCUUCCGCAAUGGGCGAAAGCCUGACGGAGCAACGCCGCGUGAGUGAUGAAGGUCUUCGGAUCGUAAAACUCUGUUAUUAGGGAAGAACAUAUGUGUAAGUAACUGUGCACAUCUUGACGGUACCUAAUCAGAAAGCCACGGCUAACUACGUGCCAGCAGCCGCGGUAAUACGUAGGUGGCAAGCGUUAUCCGGAAUUAUUGGGCGUAAAGCGCGCGUAGGCGGUUUUUUAAGUCUGAUGUGAAAGCCCACGGCUCAACCGUGGAGGGUCAUUGGAAACUGGAAAACUUGAGUGCAGAAGAGGAAAGUGGAAUUCCAUGUGUAGCGGUGAAAUGCGCAGAGAUAUGGAGGAACACCAGUGGCGAAGGCGACUUUCUGGUCUGUAACUGACGCUGAUGUGCGAAAGCGUGGGGAUCAAACAGGAUUAGAUACCCUGGUAGUCCACGCCGUAAACGAUGAGUGCUAAGUGUUAGGGGGUUUCCGCCCCUUAGUGCUGCAGCUAACGCAUUAAGCACUCCGCCUGGGGAGUACGACCGCAAGGUUGAAACUCAAAGGAAUUGACGGGGACCCGCACAAGCGGUGGAGCAUGUGGUUUAAUUCGAAGCAACGCGAAGAACCUUACCAAAUCUUGACAUCCUUUGACAACUCUAGAGAUAGAGCCUUCCCCUUCGGGGGACAAAGUGACAGGUGGUGCAUGGUUGUCGUCAGCUCGUGUCGUGAGAUGUUGGGUUAAGUCCCGCAACGAGCGCAACCCUUAAGCUUAGUUGCCAUCAUUAAGUUGGGCACUCUAAGUUGACUGCCGGUGACAAACCGGAGGAAGGUGGGGAUGACGUCAAAUCAUCAUGCCCCUUAUGAUUUGGGCUACACACGUGCUACAAUGGACAAUACAAAGGGCAGCCAAACCGCGAGGUCAAGCAAAUCCCAUAAAGUUGUUCUCAGUUCGGAUUGUAGUCUGCAACUCGACUACAUGAAGCUGGAAUCGCUAGUAAUCGUAGAUCAGCAUGCUACGGUGAAUACGUUCCCGGGUCUUGUACACACCGCCCGUCACACCACGAGAGUUUGUAACACCCGAAGCCGGUGGAGUAACCUUUUAGGAGCUAGCCGUCGAAGGUGGGACAAAUGAUUGGGGUGAAGUCGUAACAAGGUAGCCGUAUCGGAAGGUGCGGCUGGAUCACCU